Molecule: ribosomal RNA, 1529 nt
Filed under: Echinobothrium dougbermani
Lineage: Eukaryota; Metazoa; Platyhelminthes; Cestoda; Diphyllidea; Echinobothriidae
Description: SSU rRNA
Rfam family: Eukaryotic small subunit ribosomal RNA
Source: RNAcentral
AGGCGCGCAAAUUACCCACUCCCUGUACGGGGAGGUGGUGACGAUAAAUACCGAUGCGGGACUCGUCAUGAGGCUCCGUAAUCGGAAUGAGUGAGAUUUAAAUCCUUUUACGAGGAUCAAUUGGAGGGCAAGUCUGGUGCCAGCAGCCGCGGUAACUCCAGCUCCAAUAGCGUAUAUUAAAGUUGUUGCAGUUAAAAAGCUCGUAGUUGGAUCUCGGUAGCAUUGCUGCCUGCCACUGCUUGGCUGGUUGAGCUUGGGUUAAGUGCUUUGCGCUAGCCUAGUUUGGCCGGUCGAGUUGGCGUGGUGGCGGUGUCACCUUUUAGCCAUGUCUGUGGUGAAAUACCCAUAGGUGUAGGCGGGUGUCAGGCGGUGCUCUGCAACAGUAGGGUCCGUCGGCUCGUUUGCAUGCCUUUGGAUGCCCUUUAAAAGGUGUCUGUUGGCGGAUGGCACGUUUACUUUGAACAAAUUUGAGUGCUCAAACCAGGCCGAUGUUGCCUGAAAAGUUUUGCAUGGAAUAAUGGAAUAGGACUUCGGUUCUAUUUUGUUGGUUUUCGGAUCCGAAGUAAUGAUCAAAAGAGACAGGCGGGGACGUUUGUAUGGUUGCGCUAGAGGUGAAAUUCAUGGACCGUGGCCAGACAAACUAAAGCGAAAGCAUUCGUCAAGCAUGUUUUCAUUGACCAUGAGCGAAAGUCAGAGGCUCGAAGACGAUCAGAUACCGUCCUAGUUCUGACCAUAAACUAUGCCAACUGACGAUCCGUGGUGGUAGUAUUAUAACCUUCCACACGGGCAGUCCCCGGAAAACCUUUAAGUCUUUGGGUUCCGGGGGAAGUAUGGUUGCAAAGCUGAAACUUAAAGGAAUUGACGGAAGGGCACCACCAGGAGUGGAGCCUGCGGCUUAAUUUGACUCAACACGGGAAAACUCACCCGGGCCGGACACUAUGAGGAUUGACAGAUUGACAGCUCUUUCAUGAUUUGGUGGUUGGUGGUGCAUGGCCGUUCUUAGUUGGUGGAGUGAUUUGUCUGGUUAAUUCCGAUAACGAACGAGACUCUAGCCUGCUAAUUAGUGUGCUCGUCCACUGUUCCUGUGCAGGUGGCGUUUCUACGAGUCUGCUCUAUCAAAGUGGUCAGUGUGGAAGCGUGUGUGGCCUUCGGGUUAUGCAUGUGGAAGCCUGUUCGCUGGAGUGGAUGGUUAGGCGUUGCUUCCGGGUGCGGCGCGGGUACUUACUUCUUAGAGGGACAAACGGCAUAAUCCGCACGAAAUUGAGCAAUAACAGGUCUGUGAUGCCCUUAGAUGUCCGGGGCCGCACGCGCGCUACAAUGACGAUGGCAACGAGUCUGACCUUCUGGCCCGAAAGGGUUGGACAAACUGGUCAAUCAUCGUCAUGACAGGGAUUGGGGCUUGUAAUUGUUCCCCAUGAACGAGGAAUUCCUAGUAAGUGCAAGUCAUAAGCUUGCGCUGAUUACGUCCCUGCCCUUUGUACACACCGCCCGUCGCUACUACCGAUUGAAUGGUUUAGUAAGGUCAUUGG